RNAcentral lists this transfer RNA (75 nucleotides) under Acidobacteriota bacterium. Its description in RNAcentral is "Acidobacteria bacterium (wastewater metagenome) tRNA-Glu". It matches the Rfam family "tRNA". From Rfam's summary of the family: Transfer RNA (tRNA) molecules are approximately 80 nucleotides in length. Their secondary structure includes four short double-helical elements and three loops (D, anti-codon, and T loops). Lineage: Bacteria; Pseudomonadati; Acidobacteriota. The record is from RNAcentral. RNAcentral also lists the same sequence under 1 other name.
GUCCCCAUCGUCCAGUGGUCAGGACGCGGCCCUUUCAAGGCCGAAACGCGGGUUCGACUCCCGCUGGGGACGCCA